This 569-nucleotide long non-coding RNA is filed under the name Fukomys damarensis (Damara mole-rat). RNAcentral describes it as "lncRNA (ENSFDAG00000028921.1)". Lineage: Eukaryota; Metazoa; Chordata; Mammalia; Rodentia; Bathyergidae. The record is from RNAcentral.
CAGAGUUGGAAGGUAGCAGAGCUGGGAUUUGGAGCCAGAUCUUUCUAGCUAACCUCCGUGUGCUAACAAACCAACAAGGAAUCUCGUAGAGGGCCCCCACCUGAUGACUGGCACAUGCUUUGUAGACAGGAUCAAGGAAUGAACGUGCCAUAUAAUGAAACAUGGCUUUUCUUGUUGGUGAUGUGCAAGGGGCUGGAGGAGGAAGACAUGAUCCAGUUGGCCUUUAAGGAAGCCCUCUCUAGUUUGCUGUGUGGAGUGGAUGUCAGAGACAUUGGGACAAGCUUCAGGUGCCUGGAAAAUCUGCCCCUCAUUGGCUGUGCGUAGAAGAUGAAAACUUGUCUGACUCACCAAGCCCACUUCACCUACCCAUAAUUCUACAGUCCCAGAGUAGGAGAACUCACCUGAAAAUGCAGAGAAAUAUCCUUAGGGCAGAAGCAAGCAGCCAUUUGGCCCCCACUAAACCACUUGUAGGUCAUGGAAGUGUCUCAGCCUUCUUGGGCAGCCAGACACUCCAUGAAUGAAUCCACACCCAUGCCCCUAAGAAAGCAAAGAGAUUGAUUUCGCCCUCC